UCAUAACAUGCUUGCAUGCAUGCCUUUGAUGUAUCUUUGAUGCCUUAAAAGCUUGUGUUGUAUGCUCCAUGUUUGGAUGCUUCCAUGUUUAAGCCACUUAGAUGCCAUCUACGUGUUCCCUUUGCAUGGUCUAGGCCUACCUUGAACCUGUUUUAAGCCUUCU
RNAcentral lists this small RNA (163 nucleotides) under Camellia sinensis. Its description in RNAcentral is "transcribed RNA". The record is from RNAcentral. Lineage: Eukaryota; Viridiplantae; Streptophyta; Magnoliopsida; Ericales; Theaceae.